Molecule: long non-coding RNA, 199 nt
Organism: Dreissena polymorpha
Lineage: Eukaryota; Metazoa; Mollusca; Bivalvia; Myida; Dreissenidae
Exons: 2
Source: RefSeq, a predicted model, not a curated record
UACUGCGCCGAUUUGAAGCCAUAUAUUUGACCUUUGACAAUGAAGAAUGACCUUGACAUUUCACCACUCUAAAUGUGCAGCUCCAUGAAAUACACAUGCAUGCCAAAUAUUAAGUUGCUAUCUUCAAUUUUGCAAAAGUUAUGACCAAGUUUUGGGACAGAAUGACAGGCUAAACACAAUAUACUCCCAAUCAUUCAAU